GAUGAACGCUGGCGGCGUGCUUAACACAUGCAAGUCGAACGAUGAAGCCCAGCCUGCUGGGCGGAUUAGUGGCGAACGGGUGAGUAACACGUGAGUAACCUGCCCUUGACUCUGGGAUAAGCCCGGGAAACUGGGUCUAAUACCGGAUAGGAGCGCCUGUCGCAUGACGGGUGCUGGAAAGAUUUUUCGGUCAUGGAUGGACUCGCGGCCUAUCAGCUUGUUGGUGAGGUAACGGCUCACCAAGGCGACGACGGGUAGCCGGCCUGAGAGGGUGACCGGCCACACUGGGACUGAGACACGGCCCAGACUCCUACGGGAGGCAGCAGUGGGGAAUAUUGCACAAUGGGCGGAAGCCUGAUGCAGCGACGCCGCGUGAGGGAUGACGGCCUUCGGGUUGUAAACCUCUUUCAGUAGGGAAGAAGCGAAGGGACGUACCUGCAGAAG
Molecule: ribosomal RNA, 444 nt
Filed under: Micrococcus luteus
Lineage: Bacteria; Bacillati; Actinomycetota; Actinomycetes; Micrococcales; Micrococcaceae
Description: bacterial SSU rRNA
Rfam family: Bacterial small subunit ribosomal RNA
Source: RNAcentral